CUGUCCCUUGGAGUUCCUCUGAACGCUUCAUGUUAGUGAGGGGGGUAGCCAAUGUAAACUGGUACCCAUUAUAAGCCUUAUUCAAUGAAGUGUUUGGGGGAACUCUUGGGUUCAA
Glycine soja is the source of this 115-nucleotide non-coding RNA. The record is from Rfam. NCBI's taxonomy places the organism in Eukaryota, Viridiplantae, Streptophyta, Magnoliopsida, Fabales, Fabaceae.